This 429-nucleotide ribosomal RNA is filed under the name Actinomycetes bacterium. Its description in RNAcentral is "Actinobacteria bacterium partial 16S ribosomal RNA". It matches the Rfam family "Bacterial small subunit ribosomal RNA", at positions 355 to 776 of the family's 1533-position model. The record is from RNAcentral. Lineage: Bacteria; Bacillati; Actinomycetota; Actinomycetes.
UAGGGAAUCUUCCGCAAUGGGCGAAAGCCUGACGGAGCAACGCCGCGUGAGUGAUGAAGGUCUUCGGAUCGUAAAACUCUGUUAUUAGGGAAGAACAAAUGUGUAAGCAACUAUGCACGUCUUGACGGUACCUAAUCAGAAAGCCACGGCUAACUACGUGCCAGCAGCCGCGGUAAUACGUAGGUGGCAAGCGUUAUCCGGAAUUAUUGGGCGUAAAGCGCGCGUAGGCGGUUUUUUAAGUCUGAUGUGAAAGCCCACGGCUCAACCGUGGAAGGUCAUUGGAAACUGGAAAACUUGAGUGCAGAAGAGGAAAGUGGAAUUCCAUGUGUAGCGGUGAAAUGCGCAGAGAUAUGGAGGAACACCAGUGGCGAAGGCGACUUUCUGGUCUGUAACUGACGCUGAUGUGCGAAAGCGUGGGGAUCAAACAGG